RNAcentral lists this ribosomal RNA (460 nucleotides) under uncultured bacterium. RNAcentral's name for it is "partial 16S ribosomal RNA". It matches the Rfam family "Bacterial small subunit ribosomal RNA", at positions 338 to 795 of the family's 1533-position model. The record is from RNAcentral.
CCUACGGGCGGCAGCAGUGAGGAAUAUUGGUCAAUGGACGAGAGUCUGUACCAGCCAAGUCGCGUGAAGGAUGACUGCCCUAUGGGUUGUAAACUUCUUUUAUAUGGGAAUAAAAUGUUCCACGUGUGGGAUUUUGUAUGUACCAUAUGAAUAAGGAUCGGCUAACUCCGUGCCAGCAGCCGCGGUAAUACGGAGGAUCCGAGCGUUAUCCGGAUUUAUUGGGUUUAAAGGGAGCGUAGGUGGAUUGUUAAGUCAGUUGUGAAAGUUUGCGGCUCAACCGUAAAAUUGCAGUUGAAACUGGCAGUCUUGAGUACAGUAGAGGUGGGCGGAAUUCGUGGUGUAGCGGUGAAAUGCUUAGAUAUCACGAAGAACUCCGAUUGCGAAGGCAGCUCACUGGACUGCAACUGACACUGAGGCUCGAAAGUGUGGGUAUCAAACAGGAUUAGAUACCCGAGUAGUC